RNAcentral lists this ribosomal RNA (475 nucleotides) under Listeria monocytogenes. RNAcentral's name for it is "bacterial SSU rRNA". It matches the Rfam family "Bacterial small subunit ribosomal RNA", at positions 1066 to 1533 of the family's 1533-position model. The record is from RNAcentral. Lineage: Bacteria; Bacillati; Bacillota; Bacilli; Caryophanales; Listeriaceae.
CGUGAGAUGUUGGGUUAAGUCCCGCAACGAGCGCAACCCUUAUUGUUAGUUGCCAUCAUUUAGUUGGGCACUCUAGCGAGACUGCCGGUGACAAACCGGAGGAAGGUGGGGAUGACGUCAAAUCAUCAUGCCCCUUAUGACCUGGGCUACACACGUGCUACAAUGGGAAGUACAACGAGUUGCGAAGUCGCGAGGCUAAGCUAAUCUCUUAAAGCUUCUCUCAGUUCGGAUUGUAGGCUGCAACUCGCCUACAUGAAGCCGGAAUCGCUAGUAAUCGCGGAUCAGCACGCCGCGGUGAAUACGUUCCCGGGCCUUGUACACACCGCCCGUCACACCACGAGAGUUUGUAACACCCGAAGUCGGUGAGGUAACCUUUUUGGAGCCAGCCGCCUAAGGUGGGAUAGAUGAUUGGGGUGAAGUCGUAACAAGGUAGCCGUAUCGGAAGGUGCGGCUGGAUCACCUCCUUUCUAAGGAA